UAGGGAAUUUUCGGCAAUGGGGGAAACCCUGACCGAGCAACGCCGCGUGAAGGAAGAAGGUUUUCGGAUUGUAAACUUCUGUUAUAAAGGAAGAACGGCGGCUACAGGAAAUGGUAGCCGAGUGACGGUACUUUAUUAGAAAGCCACGGCUAACUACGUGCCAGCAGCCGCGGUAAUACGUAGGUGGCAAGCGUUAUCCGGAAUUAUUGGGCGUAAAGAGGGAGCAGGCGGCAGCAAGGGUCUGUGGUGAAAGCCUGAAGCUUAACUUCAGUAAGCCAUAGAAACCAGGCAGCUAGAGUGCAGGAGAGGAUCGUGGAAUUCCAUGUGUAGCGGUGAAAUGCGUAGAUAUAUGGAGGAACACCAGUGGCGAAGGCGACGAUCUGGCCUGCAACUGACGCUCAGUCCCGAAAGCGUGGGGAGCAAAUAGGAUUAGAUACC
This 438-nucleotide ribosomal RNA is filed under the name uncultured bacterium. RNAcentral's name for it is "bacterial SSU rRNA". It matches the Rfam family "Bacterial small subunit ribosomal RNA", at positions 355 to 786 of the family's 1533-position model. The record is from RNAcentral.